This 328-nucleotide unclassified non-coding RNA is filed under the name rhizosphere metagenome. RNAcentral's name for it is "partial ribosomal RNA internal transcribed spacer region". The record is from RNAcentral.
GUAGGUGAACCUGCGGAAGGAUCAUUAACACGUAUCCAACGUUAAACAACCCUGUGAACCUUGAACGUGCUCUCGUACACGCUCUAGCAGCAAUCCCUGGUAAAUCAUUGUUGACCAGCUAUUGAGUCUGGGACUUCUGCUAGAAAUACGAGCGCCAGAGUAAGUGCGGCCUGGCAUCCUAGCGCAAGGACGAUCGCUGUAGGCCCACACGGCCGGCGACCGGGCCUCUGUGCUUCGGCACCUAAUGACACCAGUUUUCUGACCCGGUGCGCUGUAACAACCGCACCACAAACUCGAACAACUGUUAACAAUGGAUAUCUUGGUUCUU